This 379-nucleotide ribosomal RNA is filed under the name uncultured bacterium. RNAcentral describes it as "bacterial SSU rRNA". It matches the Rfam family "Bacterial small subunit ribosomal RNA", at positions 29 to 399 of the family's 1533-position model. The record is from RNAcentral.
AACGAACGCUGGCGGCGCGCCUAAUACAUGCAAGUCGAACGAGAAGGUGUAGCAAUACACUUGUACAGUGGCGAACGGGUGAGGAAUGCAUGGGUAACCUACCCUCGAGUGGGGAAUAACCAGCCGAAGGUUGGCUAAUACCGCGUACGUUUCCCGGUCUGCGGAUCGGGAAAGAAAGUCAUACCAUGGGUAUGACGCUCAAGGAUGGGCUCAUGUCCUAUCAGCUUGNGGUUAGGGUAACGGCCUACCAAGGCUCCGACGGGUAGCUGGUCUGAGAGGACGAUCAGCCACACUGGCACUGCGACACGGGCCAGACUCCUACGGGAGGCAGCAGUAAGGAAUAUUGCGCAAUGGGCGAAAGCCUGACGCAGCGACGCCG